AAUAUUUUGGCCCUGGCCCCUCAAGGUCAACAAAGAUCCAGGACACAAAGGAACCUUUCCUACAGGAUCCUACAUCUUUGCCUGUCUGUGGCGUUUUCUUUCCACUGUAACAGGAUGCCUCUUUGACCCAGUAGGACCUGGAAUGGUGUGUAGCAACUACAAUGUGCAGCUAGCUUUUCUUUGAAGUCAACGUUUCUUCUAACAAAAUAUGGCCACUAUUCCUCCAUAAAAGAACUAAACAUCCUUCUGAAAAAUGAGUGUUGUAAAAGGGAGAUUUCACCUUCAAGACAUAGAAGAGGUUGCAUGAAAGUCAUGUCCAAUCUUCCUUGGAGACAUUUCCCAAGGGGUGGAUGAACUGAAAUGGUUUUAGGAAUUCUAAAGGCCGUUUACCCUUGGUUCCAAUUUUGCCUCCAAUCAAGGAUCACCAGCCAAAUGAGAGAAAUUAAACAAUGACUUAUUAAUCUGUACAAUCAUUUUGGGGGAUUCUUUGAAUAAA
Heterocephalus glaber (naked mole-rat) is the source of this 496-nucleotide long non-coding RNA. RefSeq lists it as uncharacterized. NCBI's taxonomy places the organism in Eukaryota, Metazoa, Chordata, Mammalia, Rodentia, Bathyergidae. The record is from RefSeq and is a predicted model, not a curated record.